This 593-nucleotide ribosomal RNA is filed under the name uncultured fungus. RNAcentral's name for it is "eukaryotic LSU rRNA". It matches the Rfam family "Eukaryotic large subunit ribosomal RNA", at positions 40 to 647 of the family's 3401-position model. Lineage: Eukaryota; Fungi. The record is from RNAcentral.
AUAUCAAUAAGCGGAGGAAAAGAAACCAACAGGGAUUGCCUUAGUAACGGCGAGUGAAGCGGCAACAGCUCAAAUUUGAAAUCUGGCUCUUUCAGGGUCCGAGUUGUAAUUUGCAGAAGAUGCUUUGGGUGUGGCUCCGGUCUAAGUUCCUUGGAACAGGACGUCAUAGAGGGUGAGAAUCCCGUACGUGACUGGGUGCCUUCGCUCGUGUAAAGCUCUUUCGACGAGUCGAGUUGUUUGGGAAUGCAGCUCAAAAUGGGUGGUAAAUUUCAUCUAAAGCUAAAUAUUGGCCAGAGACCGAUAGCGCACAAGUAGAGUGAUCGAAAGAUGAAAAGCACUUUGGAAAGAGAGUUAAACAGUACGUGAAAUUGUUGAAAGGGAAGCGCUUGCAAUCAGACUUGCGCGCUGUUGAUCAUCCGAGGUUUUCCCCGGUGCACUCGGCAGCGUUCAGGCCAGCAUCGGUUUUGGUGGGCGGAUAAAGGCCUUGGGAAUGUAGCUUCUUUCGGGGAGUGUUAUAGCCCUCGGUGCAAUGCGCCCUACCGGGACCGAGGACCGCGCUUCGGCUAGGAUGCUGGCGUAAUGGUUGUAAGCGA